This 468-nucleotide ribosomal RNA is filed under the name uncultured bacterium. Its description in RNAcentral is "partial 16S ribosomal RNA". It matches the Rfam family "Bacterial small subunit ribosomal RNA", at positions 28 to 507 of the family's 1533-position model. The record is from RNAcentral.
GACGAACGCUGGCGGCGUGCUUAACACAUGCAAGUCGAACGGAAAGGCCCUGCUUUUGUGGGGUGCUCGAGUGGCGAACGGGUGAGUAACACGUGAGUAACCUGCCCUUGACUUUGGGAUAACUUCAGGAAACUGGGGCUAAUACCGGAUAGGAGCUCCUGCUGCAUGGUGGGGGUUGGAAAGUUUCGGCGGUUGGGGAUGGACUCGCGGCUUAUCAGCUUGUUGGUGGGGUAGUGGCUUACCAAGGCUUUGACGGGUAGCCGGCCUGAGAGGGUGACCGGCCACAUUGGGCCUGAGAUGCGGCCCAGACUCCUCCGGGAGGCAGCAGUGCGGAAUAUUGCACAAUGGGCGGAAGCCUGAUGCAGCAACGCCGCGUGCGGGAUGACGGCCUUCGGGUUGUAAACCGCUUUCGCCUGUGACGAAGCGUUAGUGACGGUAAUGGGUAAAGAAGCACCGGCUAACUACGUG